RNAcentral lists this ribosomal RNA (899 nucleotides) under uncultured bacterium. RNAcentral describes it as "bacterial SSU rRNA". It matches the Rfam family "Bacterial small subunit ribosomal RNA", at positions 8 to 916 of the family's 1533-position model. The record is from RNAcentral.
AGAGUUUGAUCAUGGCUCAGAAUCAACGCUGGCGGCGUGCCUCAGACAUGCAAGUCGAACGAUUAAGACUUCCUUCGGGAAGUGUAUAAAGUGGCGCACGGGUGAGUAACACGUAAGUAAUCUACCUUCGAGUGGGGAAUAACGUUCGGAAACGAACGCUAAUACCGCAUAAUGCAGCGGCAUCGCAAGAUGACAGUUGUUAAAGGAAUUUAUUUCGCUUGAAGAGGAGCUUGCGGCAGAUUAGCUAGUUGGUAAGGUAACGGCUUACCAAGGCUACGAUCUGUAUCCGGUCUAAGAGGACGGUCGGACACACUGACACUGAAUAACGGGUCAGACUCCUACGGGAGGCAGCAGUCGGGAAUUUUGGGCAAUGGGCGAAAGCCUGACCCAGCAACGCCGCGUGAAGGAUGAAGUAUUUCGGUAUGUAAACUUCGAAAGAAUGGGAAGAAUAAAUGACGGUACCAUUUAUAAGCUCCGGCUAACUACGUGCCAGCAGCCGCGGUAAUACGUAGGGAGCAAGCGUUGUUCGGAUUUACUGGGCGUAAAGGGCGCGUAGGCGGCGCGGUAAGUCACUUGUGAAAUCUCUGAGCUUAACUCAGAACGGCCAAGUGAUACUGCAGUGCUAGAGUGUAGAAGGGGCAAUCGGAAUUCUUGGUGUAGCGGUGAAAUGCGUAGAUAUCAAGAGGAACACCUGAGGUGAAGACGGGUUGCUGGUCUAACACUGACGCUGAGGCGCGAAAGCCAGGGGAGCAAACGGGAUUAGAUACCCCGGUAGUCCUGGCCCUAAACGAUGAAUACUUGGUGUCCGGGGUUUCAAGACCCUGGGUGCCGUCGCUAACGUUUUAAGUAUUCCGCCUGGGGAGUACGCUCGCAAGAGUGAAACUCAAAGGAAUUGACGG